This 301-nucleotide ribosomal RNA is filed under the name uncultured bacterium. RNAcentral's name for it is "partial 16S ribosomal RNA". It matches the Rfam family "Bacterial small subunit ribosomal RNA", at positions 509 to 807 of the family's 1533-position model. The record is from RNAcentral.
CAGCAGCCGCGGUAAUACGUAGGUGGCAAGCGUUAUCCGGAAUUAUUGGGCGUAAAGCGCGCGUAGGCGGUUUUUUAAGUCUGAUGUGAAAGCCCACGGCUCAACCGUGGAGGGUCAUUGGAAACUGGAAAACUUGAGUGCAGAAGAGGAAAGUGGAAUUCCAUGUGUAGCGGUGAAAUGCGCAGAGAUAUGGAGGAACACCAGUGGCGAAGGCGACUUUCUGGUCUGUAACUGACGCUGAUGUGCGAAAGCGUGGGGAUCAAACAGGAUUAGAUACCCCCGUAGUCCCUGUCUCUUAUAC